This 469-nucleotide ribosomal RNA is filed under the name uncultured Polaribacter sp. RNAcentral describes it as "bacterial SSU rRNA". It matches the Rfam family "Bacterial small subunit ribosomal RNA", at positions 30 to 496 of the family's 1533-position model. The record is from RNAcentral. Lineage: Bacteria; Pseudomonadati; Bacteroidota; Flavobacteriia; Flavobacteriales; Flavobacteriaceae.
UGAACGCUAGCGGCAGGCUUAACACAUGCAAGUCGAGGGGUAACAUUGUGCUUGCACAGAUGACGACCGGCGCACGGGUGCGUAACGCGUAUAGAACCUACCUUUUACAGAGGAAUAGCCUUUAGAAAUGAAGAUUAAUGCCUCAUAGUAUUGUAGACUGGCAUCAGUUUAUAAUUAAAGAUUUAUCGGUAAAAGAUGGCUAUGCGUCCUAUUAGUUAGUUGGUAAGGUAACGGCUUACCAAGACAGCGAUAGGUAGGGGUCCUGAGAGGGAGAUCCCCCACACUGGUACUGAGACACGGACCAGACUCCUACGGGAGGCAGCAGUGAGGAAUAUUGGACAAUGGAGGAGACUCUGAUCCAGCCAUGCCGCGUGUAGGAAGAAUGCCCUAUGGGUUGUAAACUACUUUUAUACAGGAAGAAACACUGGUAUGUAUACCAGCUUGACGGUACUGUAAGAAUAAGGACCGG